GUAGGCUACGGAGACAUGUCACCAGAAACAGUAGGUGGGAAACUAGUUGGUUCUCUUUGCGCCAUUGCAGGUGUGUUAACCAUUUCUUUGCCUGUACCAGUCAUUGUAUCUAAC
Non-coding RNA from Pelobates cultripes (western spadefoot toad), 114 nucleotides. Lineage: Eukaryota; Metazoa; Chordata; Amphibia; Anura; Pelobatidae. The record is from the annotation of a GenBank genome assembly.